Rosa chinensis is the source of this 703-nucleotide long non-coding RNA. RefSeq lists it as uncharacterized. The record is from RefSeq and is a predicted model, not a curated record. The transcript is spliced from 3 exons. Lineage: Eukaryota; Viridiplantae; Streptophyta; Magnoliopsida; Rosales; Rosaceae.
UAGUUCUUCCUUCUUCCUUCUUACUUCUUCCUUCUUGGUCCAUAGUUAAUCUUUGGCUCUCAGAUUAUUUCCUUCUUCUUUUUCUUCUUCUUUUGUUGUCAUUUUUGUUCGUUCUAUAUCUUUUACUUCCUCUCUCCUCCAGUCGCUCUCACCCUCAAAACCAGAUCGAAAAACAUACCAAACACCAAACAACCAAAUCUGAAUCGUACCUUCGCCAUCCGUUUCGUCUUCCUUCUCUCUUAGCCUCUCACAUCCUGCUUCAUUUCCUAUGAAACCAAUCUUGGCCCAAAAUCCGUAAUACCCAAAUCAAAAAACCUAACACCUCAGUCCCAAAUACCUCCUCCAAUCUCACUUGCUCUCUCGACUUCUUGCUUAGCAAUCAGUUGCUUGUCGCACUCAAUUUCUGUACUUGCAAUCGAAAUCUUGUGGCUCGUUAGCAAUUGAAAGGGGCUUCUGGGGCGGAAGAGGACUGCGCAUAUUGGGUCCAAGAAAGCUGAGAGAGGUAGUGAUGGCUCUUCUAUGGAAGGAAGAAGGUCUGGCCUUGUGCAUGAGAGUUCUUCUUCAUAGAUUCGAGUUUCAGCUGUCCUGACAAAUGGUGCAUAUCUUUUGAACGUCGAUUGUGAUCACUACUUCAAUAACAGUAAAGCUGUUAAGGAAGCAAUGUGUUUCAUGAUGGACCCAGAUUAUGGGAAGAAGACCUGCU